CUUGCGAAAGUAAGACUAAUACCCAAUGAUAUCUCUAGAAGACAUCUGAAAGAGAUUAAAGAUUUAUCGGUGAUGGAUGGGGAUGCGUCUGAUUAGCUUGUUGGCGGGGUAACGGCCCACCAAGGCAACGAUCAGUAGGGGUUCUGAGAGGAAGGUCCCCCACAUUGGAACUGAGACACGGUCCAAACUCCUACGGGAGGCAGUCAGUGAGGAAUAUUGGUCAAUGGACGAGAGUCUGAACCAGCCAAGUAGCGUGCAGGAUGACGGCCCUAUGGGUUGUAAACUGCUUUUAUAAGGGAAUAAAGUGAGCCUCGUGAGGCUUUUUGCAUGUACCUUAUGAAUAAGGACCGGCUAAUUCCGUGCCAGCAGCCGCGGUAAUACGGAAGGUCCGGGCGUUAUCCGGAUUUAUUGGGUUUAAAGGGAGCGUAGGCCGGAGAUUAAGCGUGUUGUGAAAUGUAGACGCUCAACGUCUGCACUGCAGCGCGAACUGGUUUCCUUGAGUACGCACAAAGUGGGCGGAAUUCGUGGUGUAGCGGUGAAAUGCUUAGAUAUCACGAAGAACUCCGAUUGCGAAGGCAGCUCACUGGAGCGCAACUGACGCUGAAGCUCGAAAGUGCGGGUAUCGAACAGGAUUAGAUACCCUGGUAGUCCGCACGGUAAACGAUGGAUGCCCGCUGUUGGUCUGAAUAGGUCAGCGGC
Molecule: ribosomal RNA, 699 nt
Filed under: uncultured bacterium
Lineage: Bacteria
Description: bacterial SSU rRNA
Rfam family: Bacterial small subunit ribosomal RNA
Source: RNAcentral